GCAACCAAAAGCCACAGGGGGCAGAACUCACAUGCACUCUUCUCUCUUUACUGUAGUGGUUUGAGACUGAUGAGAUGGCUUAGUCCAAAAAGGUGAUUGCUGCCAAGCCUCGCGCGUGCGCGCGCACACACACACACAACCAUGCUUGUGCAACCAGAAGCCACAUGUGUAAAUAGCCAGUCUUCCCAGAUCCCAGUGUAACGUCUGCUAGCAAAGUGCUCCCAAGCAUGUGCUCUACAGAUACAGAUACAAAGGAACCUUAAUUGUCCUCACUUUCAGGAAGAGCAGGCAACAGGCCCAGCCUUAACUCCCAAAGAUACGCCUGCCUCUGCCCCCCAAAUGCUGCAAGUAACGUUUAAGAAGCCCUCGGCUAUCUGGAAGCUUUCCGACACCUGAACACCACGGAUACUUCUGAAAAGCACACAGCAAAGAUUGGUGUGAAGAAGCUAGGCCUUGAAGGAUCCUUCCCUGGGAGGCUAAGCGGGAGCCCGGCAGCUCUGAAUCUCCUCUGGCAAGCACAGACUCCAUGGAGAGUCCUCUAAACCACUUCCGGCAACAGCACAGGGCGCAGUCGCUACAGCUCUGGGAUGACUACGGCAGCUUGUGUCAAGCUGAUAGAGAACUAACCAGCACAGUCACCAACCGGGGAUACCAUUGGAAGAUACUGUAGUCUUUGCCGGAAGAAAGCAGGAUAUUGGACAAGAGCACACCAAGUUUUUCAUUCUGACCUUGAUUUUGCUACCACUAAAAUGUUUGUCUCGGGACAUUAGAAACAACGCCAGGCCAUUGGACACCUCACUGUCAUUGGAACCACAAAGCUGUGUCAACCCAUCUAGCAUACAUAGUCUUCCCUCGUGAGAGAUCUUUAGACUCCUGGAUACAACCUAAAACAAACAAGCAAAAACCAGAAAAGCAACUUAAGUAAAUGAGAACGUCCAACAA
Long non-coding RNA from Mus musculus (house mouse), 942 nucleotides. RefSeq annotates it as predicted gene, 53417. The transcript has 6 exons. Lineage: Eukaryota; Metazoa; Chordata; Mammalia; Rodentia; Muridae. The record is from RefSeq and is a predicted model, not a curated record.